UGCGGGUACGUCAAUUGCCUGCAGGUAUUAACCACAUCACCUUCCUCCCCGCUGAAAGUACUUUACAACCCGAAGGCCUUCUUCAUACACGCGGCAUGGCUGCAUCAGGCUUGCGCCCAUUGUGCAAUAUUCCCCACUGCUGCCUCCCGUAGGA
This 154-nucleotide ribosomal RNA is filed under the name uncultured Pantoea sp. RNAcentral describes it as "partial 16S ribosomal RNA". The record is from RNAcentral. Lineage: Bacteria; Pseudomonadati; Pseudomonadota; Gammaproteobacteria; Enterobacterales; Erwiniaceae.